Molecule: non-coding RNA, 7982 nt
Organism: Sus scrofa (pig)
Lineage: Eukaryota; Metazoa; Chordata; Mammalia; Artiodactyla; Suidae
Source: RefSeq, a predicted model, not a curated record
CAAGGUCAGUGGACUGAUUCCUCUGUGGGGGAGGAUGGGGUCCCAAUAGAGGAGCCUCCUCCCCACACGAGCAUUUUGAGUAUGCAGCACACAGUGGCUCAGCCUGGAGCUGGCAGUUAGUGCGCGCACACACACGCACACACAGCAGCGCUUUCCUCUCCAGUGGGGCGGCGUUAGUAACUGCAGUCCCAGCAUCCUAGGUUGAGGCACCAGCUGCCACUGGCUGAUUUGUUGAAGGAGCGCUGGAUCCGUUUCGGAGGACCUGGUGACUGCGCUGCUGUCACAGCUAGUGGCGGACAGCUACUUCUUCCCCGUUGCUUCCUCAGCCCCUUGCAAGAGGGCAGCCUCUUCCAAAAGCCAGGCAGCCAGGGAAGAGGCUGCUCUGUGCUGAAGGUAAGACUGCUGCCUAGUCACUCUCCUAACGUGCCAGCGACCUCACCAUCUGCUUUCAGGUUGACUGGGCUCAGCUGGGAAGUUCUGUUUUUGCGGUGUUGGCUGGAGCUGUAGUCACCUGGGAGACCCACUCACAGCGCUGACCAUUGGUGCUGGAUGUCACGUGGGGCAGUUCACUAAAGCACCCCCUCCUCUUCUCUCCUCUCCUCGGCGUGACCUUCCCACAAGGUUCCAGCUUUAUACAUCAUGGAAGCCCAUCAUGCAAGAGGAAUUUAAAAGUGUCAUUUUUGUUUGGAGUUGAGUGCUAAAAUGUAAGCUGACUGAUCACCCCAGGUAGCCGUCUCACAGCGUCCAUCUAUUGAUUCUCCCUGCAUGAGGUGAAGAAGAAACCAUCGGAUCAGAUAAAUCACAUCUUCACUGGACUCACUGGACUGAAAGACAAAGUUGAAUAAGAAGCUGUCUUUCUGAAGGAGUGAAGAAUUGGUUGGGACGUUUGAUCUUUUCUUUCAUUAAAAGGUAAGGGCAAUAUUGCAAGUGACAAUUCUUUGGGAUCUGAAAUUUUUGGUCAUUUUUUAUUUUAAUUUCUCUCUAUACCCUUUGUUAGAACAUGUUAUAAUUGGCUUCCCAUAAAGCACUGAGAAAACUUUCACAUUGUGUUGUAUUCUGGUAUUUUAAAAGGGAAAAUGUCAAGAGAAGAAAAUGAAAUCUCUCUCUUUGGGCAUCAGCACUGGUCAACGAAUAUUAUGCUGUUUGUGCUGAGUCUUGGCCAGGCUUCAGAGAGAAGCCUGUGAUGUGCUCAGUCAUGGAGAAAGGGUCUAUGUUUGACUUGAUGGGUACAGGUUAAAGGACCACCAGUCUUCAUCCAGAGGGAUUUGGCAACUGGUGUUUGGUCUGGACAAGCUUUGACGGUAAGGGAGUCUGAUCUGAGGUGUAGACCAUUUUUUUAAUAGCAUUACCCUAAGUGGCAGCAUCUGAUCUUUAGCUGACAGUUUGAAGGUGAGGAAUAGAAACUGUGAACUCCAGGGAAGCAGGUCAAGUGUAAGUGAAGGACUCUGAUCCUGAAGAAAGAAAUUAGAACAAUCGUAGAUCAAAAAACAAGCUCAGUCUUGUGUCUGCUGUGAACAACAAGGCAGGCACAGGAGGGAUGCUUAGUAGAUGAGCUCCCUAAACUCAUCCCAGGGAUGUGUAUCGAUCACAGGAUAGAAAACUAAUUCUAAAUCCCAUUUUCUUGGGAGCCCUGAAGCAACUAACACACUCCACUUAGUGAUUUGUAGUGUUGAGCAAGUUAAUUUUCUCAGUGUCCGAUGUCUUUGUCUGUAAAACAGGAUGGGUGAGAAUAGCACCUAACUCACAGACCUGGGUGCUGGGCAAACAAGGCCAGGCAAGGCCAUUACUCCUCUCAGUGGCCACACUGAGUACCUGGGGCAAGAUUGCUUUCAUUUAGUCAUGUGCAUUUUGAUUGCAAAAUACUGCUUGGAAACAGUGCUAUGGAAUGACAUACGGUAUAUAGAAUCAAUUAAAUUGAUCACUCAUCACAUCAGUUUUUUCUUUUCACACAUACAUUUCUGAAAUGCCAAAUCCACCAUCAGUCCUCCAGGAUAGUGGUAUAAUGGUAUGGUUUUGUUUUCAAAGAGUUGCUUCUUAUUUAGGUUGCAUGAGUGUCAAGUUUGGGCCUUACAUUUUUGGUUUGCUGUAGGUUGGUUUAGGACCUCUUUACUCUCAUCAGCAACUUCCAUUCAGAAAAGAAAUGCCAUCAAGUGAAUCUGGAUCUGCCAUCAAUGAGCUACUAUUUAUGGGCGUGUGAAAUUAAUAGCCCAAGUGUAUUUCUAAGUGUUUGUGCUAACUAACUAUAUGGCCAACUUGAACAAAUAUGUGAAUACAGUUCUUUGAGCUUCUGUGUGUUCUGAUCCUUAGAAAGUAGAUAGGUAUUCUCAAACCACCUUUGUGGGUGAAGAGUAAGCUCCUAAAAUUCACCAAGGCUGGAGUUACAUUGCUUCUUGAAAAUAUAGGAAAGCCCACAGGUGUCUAAAUAAUUCACUAAAAUGGAGCUGAGCUGAUUGGUUCUAGCAUCUUGAGAGGUGGUGGUGAGUAUGAAAUAAGAAAGUCUAUAUGGGCGCAUUACAAUGUGUGCAAUAUGUAUACUUAAGUUUCAGAGUUGAGGGUGUUGGGAGGUUACCCUAGGAUGGGCGUGUAAGAAUCUCCAGGUGAGCACGCGUUGUCAGGAACCAAUGCAGUGUGAUGGAUUAUUGCAUUGAUUUGCUCUAUGGCACAACUUACGGCAAAUUUAUAAAACCCUAACGGGGGGAAUGACAUUCUUUAGGUUCAUACAGAGGGUGCAUUAGAUGCGAAACUGUGGAGUAAACAUUCCUGCAGAGUCUGCCUGCAGCCCCCUCUUCUAGGCUUCAGGCAUGAGUCAGGGAACUAAACUCAGAGACAGCACGGACUGUCUUCUUCAUCUCAGUCUGCUUCUGGGACCAUGGUGCGUACUCUUUGGUGUGUAUCAUAAUCACACAGAGGGCUUGGCAGAGCCCUGGUGUGGCUCUUCACCCCUGGAAGACAUAACUAGGUCUGGGGUGGGGCCUUAAAUCGCAUUCCUUACAGGCCCCCAGGAGAUGCUGAUGCUGGACCCUAGAUGUGGGAAAUACAUUUUUAAUAGUCUUUCUCCUGCCCUUUAUCCUAACAGGCUGGAUAUGGGGUAGACAAAGAAAACUUUCUCCUUACCAGCAAAUGAAACAAACUCCUGGCAGACUUAUGUAACUCCCAUCGUUCACUUAUAGAAACAUUUCAGUUCUAGCUGCAAACCCCAAAUGGCUAGAGAUAUUAAAAAAGAGGCUUAUAGAAAUGAAGUGUAUCAUUGAAAUUCACACUAGGUGGCAGAGGCAGGAUUGAAACCCACAUCUCUUGACACCAGAUCCAGGAUUGUUUGUAAAUCACAACUUAUGCUGGGGAGUUCUGGGUUGAGUGACUCCUUAUGACCAAGAUUAUAAUGAAAACAGGAAUUUACACUAUAACUCCAUUCUAGUAUAAACAGCAGGAAGUGAAAUUAAGUUAAAGGAUGCUCAUGGCCUUUACUGUCAGUGAGAACACUGACAAAUCUAUUUCAGAGGCACUCAGUCCAAAGCUUGGACAGACUUAUCUCUCCUUCUUGUCUUUAUUUCACCUGGGCCAUCUGGCUGCAUUCUGCUUUACCAGAGACCUCUGAGUAUUUUGAGUUCUUUUUCUCUCAAAAAAAUAAAUUAAGGAACCAUAAAAGUAGAUUUUAUUGAUGAAAGUACAUUUGUAAAAAUCAUUGAAAUCAGUCAUGUUCAGAUUUACAUCUUUAUAGCCAUCAGUCUACUUGUGACCAUAUAAAAUGCUUUUCUUUCCCCAUGUACAGCAAAUAUCAAUAGCCAAGAGGAAUGAGUGGAAGCAAAUAUCCUUCUUCUUGGCUUUCUGUAAACUUCACCUUGGUUCAUGUUUUCCCACAGACUCUUCUUCAAGUUAUUGUUAUUUUUUUAGGCAAGAUAUUUUUUACUCAAGAUAAUUUAAUCACCAGGGGAAUUCUGGUGCCAGCUGUUCUAAUAACAACAUUUAUCUCACAUCUACCAUCUUGAACUUGGAACAGCAGUGGAGUGCAGUACAAGGGACUAAGACAUAAAGACCUUGGCGUUGAGUUUGGGUCUUUCACUGACUAGUUUCUGCUAAGAUGUCAUUGCUUGCAUCCUUGAACCUUUCAUAUUUAAGUUAAACUAAUUACCUUGACCCUGACCAGGGUUGGAAGUAGUUGCACUCACAUAAAAUGAUUUGUGAAUUAUAAAUGCUGUAUAAAUGGAAGACAUUAUCAACAGUUCUCAGUAAGGAAUGAAUACUUUCCUUCUCAUUAGCUCUUUCGUGCUUUCCAUCUGGACACUAUUGGCUUAUUGUCUUUUCUUUCAAACAAUCAGAAAAGGAUCGCUAGUUUACUGCUCAGGAACAGUUAAGAUUUCCUAGUGCAGGAAGCUGCUUGAUAUACAUGAACAAGCAGGGAGGCACAGACCUCCCACACUGAGGUCCAGCCAGAGGGUGGUGACUCAUCUCAUUCUUCAGAAUUCUCAUGGAGAAAAACAUAAACUCUUCCCUAUUGACUGCAAUUGAAGGAAAAUGGGAUGGGCUGUAGAGACUCUAUGAGAUUAUCCAUGUGAGGCUCUGUUACUUUAAAUUAUCAAGGCAAGUGCAAGUCUAGCAUAUGUCAGCUUCUCUGUUAAUGCCAUGCAACCCACUGGGCAAGGGGAUGGAAACUUCAUGUCCAUGAUUGAUUCGAGUUAUUGCUGCAACCCUGCAAAUUACAUAUUGUUAUUUUUACAUCAUGAGCGAAAACUAGAUUUCGGAAACAUGAGAUAGCCUACACAGAGUCACACAGGCAGUAAAUAGCCAGGUCUGGCUUUUUCCACAUCUCUGGGGCUCCACUGGUGAAAAAAACAGUAUAUUGGAAAGGUUCAGAGUGCAUACUGGGAGCAAAUUGUGUGGCUUUCAGUCCCUACUUCACAACUUAAAAGCAGCUUAUGCUUGAGUGUAUUUGACUUAUCUGUGCCUCAGUUCCCUUAGUUGCUAUAAAAAGAGAUGGUAAUAUUUUGUGGGGGUGGUAAAGAAAAAUUAUUCAAAACCUGUAAAAUGCCCAGUAUACACAAACCCUAAUUCUAAUUAGCUAUUAUUUAGCCUGUAUAGCAGUUCUGUCCCCUAAAUCUGAGUUCUCAUGAAGUUAGUCAUUUAUUCAAGAAAACUUUUCAGAACAUCUUCUAUUUUGCCAGGUACUGUGCCAGGAAAUAGAGGUCCUCCUUCUUAGAGGUGAUGUGACUAGGACUAGGUGAUAUGAUUUCACUUUCUAUUAGUUCAGAGUUUUAUGAGAGGUCAGAACAUAUUAUCAUGAGAUAAACUCUCCAACAGAGGCAUGAUGACCAAACAGUGAGGAGAAAGAGGUAGAGAUUAAAUAUACUUACAGGAAAUCUGUCAAAUCCCCAUGGAAUUGGUGCUGUUCUAAGUUGGAACUUGAAAUAUUCAUUCAAUGAGGCUGAAAGAUGGAGAAUGGAUAUCCCAAAGAGACAAAUCACAGCAAUGAAGCCACAAAAGCACACAACCACAUGGCUUAGUUCCGAGAAUUUACAAAAGGAGAAAAACAAUGAACAGAAAAAUAAAUAGAGAUGAAAGUAAAAAUGUUAGCUGUGGCACAUUGCAAACUGUGGUAAGGAAUUAAUCCCCAAAACCAUGUGAAAACUCUAGAUUGCUUUAAGCAGAGAAGUGUCACCACCAGACUUCCAUUUUCCUUUUUAGCUGUUCUUACUUUUUCCCUCUCUGUCACAUCUCUUCCCCUCUUUCCAUCACAAAGAAGAUUUAAGCAUUGAUUUAUCACAUGAGAUGCUCAUGUCAGCGUGGGUGACGUGGCUAGGGUGGCUACGGGGAGAAAUGGUAUUUGAAAUGAGUUUAGAAAAUAGAUGGUAGAACCAGCAGAUUUUUUACAUUAAUUGAAUGAAGAGUAGGGAAGAAAGUAAAAAAUGAAUAACGCCAAGAUUUUCAUGUUCUUAUGCAUGGUUAGGUAAUUGGGGGUGUCAGUUACUAGAAUAUGAAGCAUAGGAAAAGAAGUGAACUUGGGAAGGGAAGAUCUCUUUUGGAUGCGUUGCAUUUAAGAUACAUUCAGGAAAACUAUUAAGCUUUGGAAAAUGCAUUGUAAAGCAUUUUACUUUAGCUGGAAUGGCUAGGUCAGUGUUUUGCACAUGUACAAGUAACUGAACAAACAUUUGCAACAAUGAAUGGGAGAGUGAGUUAAUACUUGAAUGGAUAAACAUCUGCAUAAGUGGAUGAUUGAGUGAGAAUGAACAAAUAAACAUUUGAAAGAAUUCGUGGGCAUGCUGUUGCUAUUCCUACCAAAAAUCCUGAAACAGAUUUGAGAGCUGGUUUGUGUAUUUGCAAACACCCAUGUAUUAGUGGAACAGCCUCAGCCUACUAGAAAUAAAAACAAAACAAAAAAUCCCAACCAAAAACCUUAAACCCAGUUAUUUGUUAGACUUCAAAUGACCUUUGUUGAACACGCCUUCACAUGCUAAUCACAGCAAUCCUGUAGCCUGUCAAUCAGAAUAGACUUAGAAGACUCCAAAAAGAUCCAGAACAUUUUCCAUCUCCAUCAAUCAAAAUCAACAAGGAAACUAUCAAAACAGAACCAGGCAUAUUCAGGGAUGGCCUCUGCAGCUCUCUGAUGACUUCUUUUGUGAAGCAGCCCCUCCUUUGUCUUUCCCUUCUGUAAGCCAAUAAAAGCGUACCUGGACUUAAAACUUUCCCAGCUCAGGGUCUGAGGACUGCAGGUUGUACUCUGCUCUGACAUUUCCCUGAGCAAAUCAAAUCACCUCUACAAUCCUCAGAGAUCUUACCUUUAAGAAAAGACUGGUUAAGUAGCUACAUCAUAAUCAACCCAGGGUUUUGCUAAAAUAUUAAAAUUACAUUGAUUAAUUCCUUUUUUUCUCAUUUAUUCAUUCAAAGUUUUUGCUGAGCACCAAUGCUAGGUUUAGGGAAUACAGAAGCAAGCAAGUAAGCAAAAUCAAGUGUGGUGCUUGUCAACUAAAAAAAUGCACAGUGUGAGUUGUGAGUUAUGUUUUUGGGGGGCAAAAUAAGGACUAUAAUCAGGAGGCAGAAUUUCAGAGAGCUCUGAGAAACUACUCCAAAGAGGUAGGGGGGAAGGUCAGUAUACAUGUGAUUUUGGUGAAGGGGAGGUACAUGCAAUCAAGCACACAUUUUGCAGAAGGUUGCUACAAGUCUCCUAAAAGUUACCUAGUCAAAAGGAGCAGACAUCACCAUGAAGGAUGCUAGCGCUUUUCUAGAUAUGAGCAGAUGCAAGAAGAGGGCUCCUAAAAAUGUCUAUCUGAAGACCUGUUCUGCCAGUUUUCCCAGAGCACAGAGUGCCUCACUCCUGAUCUCAACCCCAAACUCCUUACAAGGGGUGUUGAAGGUCAGCAGCUGCAGCAGCUCAUGUUUGAAUCCUUGUAGAGGUGGGUGACAAGUGCCAAUCUCCACUUGGCAUGCCUGUCCUCACAUGGCUUAUAUAAUUUCAUGCGGAGUCCAAGUUCUUUGGGAGUAUUUCUGACAGGUAGAUGAAUGCCAUUCAUUUAACUUUGCUAUUCUCAUUGACAGAUUGCUUUGGGGCUAAAAUUUAAUCUACUCGGUAAAUUCUACUCAAUUAAUCUUAUGGUAUCUGUAGUUUAAAACCUCUGGUUGCCUGCAUGUAUACGUGUGCGAGGAUGAGAAGGAAACAGAUGCACCUGUAGUGUACACUGGGUUUGGAGCCCCUGGAUUAUUUGUGUAGUUGCUAAGGCCAUGGAUUAUGCCUAGUGUUUAGGGAACUUGGACUGCAGUAUCAGGAUAACCUGCCUGGGUUUGAAACCUGGUUCCUUUAAUUACUAGUUAUCUGGCUCUAAGGAAGUCACUUAUCCUCAGCAAAUAAGUGAAUGUUCAUGUACCUUUUGGUGAGAACAUCCUCCAUAAGACUUUUUUUUCUUUUAUUUAUAUAAUGAUUUUUUUUUCCAUUAUAGCUGGUUUAGUGUUCUGUCAAUUUUCUGCUGUACAGCAAGGUGACCCAGUUACACAUA